AUGGGGGUCCUCCAGGGGUGGGGGUGGGGAUAUGGAGGUCCUCCAGGGGUGAGGGGAGGUCCUCCAAGGGUGGGGGAUGGGGUAUGGGGGUCCUCCAGGGGUGGGGUUUGGGGGCGUUUGGGGUCCUCCAGGGGUGGGGGGUUGGGGUAUUGGGGUCCUCCAAGGGUGGGGGUUGAGGGCAUUGGGGUCCUCCAGGGGUAGAAGUGAGGAUGUGGGGUCAUCCAGGAGUGGGGUUUUGGGGUCCUCCAGGGGUGGGGGUGGGGGACAUUGGGGUCCUCCAAGGAUGGGGGAUGGGAUAUGUGAGUCCUCCAAGAGUGGGAUUUUGGGGUCCUCCAGGGGUGGUGGGGGGGCUGGGGGGGCAUUGGGGUCCUCCAAGGGUGGGGGAUGGGCAUAUUGGGGUCCUCCAAGAAUGGGGGGUGGGAAUAUUGGGGUCCUCCAAGGGUGGGGGGAUGGGAUAUGGGGGUCCUCCAGGGGUGGGGGUUGGGAUGUGGGGUCCUCCAGGGAUUGGCAUGGGGGACAUUGGGGUCCUCCAAGAGUGGGGGUGGGGAUAUGGAGGUCCUCCUGGGGUGAGGGGAGGUCCUCCAAGGGUGGGGGAUGGGGUAUGGGGGUCCUCCAGGGGUGGGGGGUCGGGGUAUUGGGGUCCUGCAGGGCUGGGGGGGGUCGGGGUAUUGGGGUCCUGCAGGGUCCGGCGCCGACCCCACACCUCCGAUCCCAUCGCAGCCCCACAGCGCGGGGAGCGGCAUUGGGGCACGGCGCUGCAAUGCACUCCGCGGCCGAUAGGGGGCGCUCGGCGUAAAGGGACGGCGAGGCGGAUCGGCCCGUAUAGCAUAGAACGGGCGGGAUAUGGGAUAUGGGAUAUGGGAUAUGGGAUAUGGGAUAUAGGGUAUGGGAUAUGGGAUAUAGGGUAUGGGGUACGGGAUAUGGGAUAUAGGGUGUGGGAUGUAGGAUAUAAGGUAUGGGAUAUGGGAUAUGGGAUAUAGGGGGUGGGAUAUAGGAUAUAGGGUACGGGAUAUGGGAUAUAGAGUAUGGGAUGUGGGAUAUAGGAUAUAGGAUAUGGGAUAUGGGAUAUAGGGUAUGGGGUACGGGAUAUGGGAUAUAGGGUAUGGUAUGUGGGAUAUAGGGUAUGGGAUGUGGGAUAUAGGAUAUGGGAUAUAGGGUAUGGGAUAUAGGGUAUGGGAUAUAGGGUAUGGGAUAUAGGAUAUGAGAUACAGGAUAUAGAGUACGGGAUAUGGGAUAAUAGUAUAUGGGAUAUAGGAUAUAGGGUGCAGGAUAUAGGAUAUAGGGUAUGGGAUAUGGGAUAUAGGGUAUGGGGUACGGGAUAUGGGAUAUAGGGUGUGGGAUGUAGGAUAUAAGGUAUGGGAUAUGGCAUAUAGGGUAUGGGGUACGGGAUAUGGGAUAUAGGGUACGGGAUGUGGGAUAUAGAAUAUAGGAUAUGGGAUAUGGGAUAUGGGAUAUAGGGUAUGGGAUAUGGGAUAUAGGGUGCAGGAUAUAGGAUAUAGGGUAUGCGAUAUGGGAUAUAGGGUAUGCGAUAUGGGAUAUAGGGUAUGGGAUAUGGGAUAUAGGAUACUGGAUAUGAAAUAUAGCAUAUAGGAUAUGAGAUAUGGAAUAUGGGAUAUAGGGUACGGGAUACAGGAUAUAGGGUACGGGAUAUGGGAUAUAGGAUAUGGGAUAUAGGGUGUGGGAUAUAGGAUAUAGGAUAUAGGAUAUAGGAUGCAGGAUAUAGGAUAUAGGGUGCAGGAUUUGGGGGAUGCUGUGUGCCACCCCUACGGCCCUAUAGGGUGGUCCCAAUGGACCGCCAUCCAUACCCCAC
Molecule: long non-coding RNA, 1810 nt
Filed under: Gallus gallus (chicken)
Lineage: Eukaryota; Metazoa; Chordata; Aves; Galliformes; Phasianidae
Description: lncRNA (ENSGALG00010000419.1)
Source: RNAcentral